Molecule: ribosomal RNA, 812 nt
Filed under: Isaurica lycia
Lineage: Eukaryota; Metazoa; Mollusca; Gastropoda; Stylommatophora; Helicidae
Description: partial large subunit ribosomal RNA
Source: RNAcentral
ACUUAUUAACUAAUAUAUAGAUUUUUUGUCACGAAUAAGGGUGAGCUAAUUACAUAUACUUUUAGGUGAUAUUACGUAGCAUAGUAAAUGAAUAAAUAUGUAUUUUGGAGUGAUAUGCUUACCACACCUUUUGAUAGCUUGUAAUGUGAGAAAAAUAUUUAGUAUUAUGGCACACUGAUAAAGCUAAGCUUGUUAGUUUAUACUAAUGUUGAUAAUACGUGGUAGUAUAGUGUAACAACUAACUUUACACUAAUGUAUUAACAUACAAUCCGAUUUAUUGUUUUUCAUAUCACACAUCUGUAUUCUUAAUUUAGCUUGUAUUUGAUAAUGUAAGUAUUAGUAAUUUUUAUAAGUAUACUUAAGGAACUCGGCAACAUGUCUCUCAACUGUUUAUCAAAAACAUAACUGUAUGAAAUAAUAUAUAGCUAUUUCUGCUCAAUGGUGCGCUAAAUAGCCGCAGUACUUUGACUGUGCAAAGGUAGCAUAAUCAGUUGGCUUUUAAUUAAAGUCUGGCAUGAACGAAAUGAUGGGUGACAACUGUCUCUUAGUAUAUUCAAAGGAUCUUAGUAAGUAAGUGCAAACACUUACAAAAAUACAACAGACGAGAAGACCCUAGAAACUUUAAUAUUGUUUUGUUGGGGCGACAGAAUUACAUUCAACUAAUUUUUAAUUACCUGAAGCUAAGACGUUAGAGUAAGUUACUCUAGGGAUAACAGCAUAAUUUUAAUAGUUUGUGACCUCGAUGUUGGAUUAGGUAUUGCACCCUUUAGACAGGGGUUCAAGUGGCUCUGUUCGAGCAUAUUUACCUACAU